RNAcentral lists this ribosomal RNA (647 nucleotides) under Deltaproteobacteria bacterium CG_4_9_14_3_um_filter_65_9. RNAcentral's name for it is "bacterial SSU rRNA". It matches the Rfam family "Bacterial small subunit ribosomal RNA", at positions 901 to 1533 of the family's 1533-position model. The record is from RNAcentral. Lineage: Bacteria; Deltaproteobacteria.
UCAAAGGAAUUGACGGGGGCCCGCACAAGCGGUGGAGCAUGUGGUUUAAUUCGACGCAACGCGAAGAACCUUACCUGGGCUUGACAUCCCUGGAACUCCCUGGAAACAGGGAGGUGCCCUCGAAAGAGGGAGCCAGGAGACAGGUGCUGCAUGGCUGUCGUCAGCUCGUGUCGUGAGAUGUUGGGUUAAGUCCCGCAACGAGCGCAACCCUUGUCCUUAGUUGCCAGCAUUCAGUUGGGCACUCUAAGGAGACUGCCGGUGUUAAACCGGAGGAAGGUGGGGAUGACGUCAAGUCCUCAUGGCCUUUAUGCCCAGGGCUACACACGUGCUACAAUGACCGGUACAAAGGGCUGCGAUACCGCGAGGUGGAGCGAAUCCCAUAAAGCCGGUCCCAGUUCGGAUUGGAGUCUGCAACUCGACUCCAUGAAGUUGGAAUCGCUAGUAAUCGCAGAUCAGCAGGCUGCGGUGAAUACGUUCCCGGGCCUUGUACACACCGCCCGUCACACCACGAAAGCUGGCUGUACCAGAAGCUGCCGGGCCAACCCGUAAGGGAGGUAGGCAUCUAAGGUAUGGUUAGUGAUUGGGGUGAAGUCGUAACAAGGUAGCCGUAGGGGAACCUGCGGCUGGAUCACCUCCUUUCUAUGGAG